RNAcentral lists this unclassified non-coding RNA (344 nucleotides) under soil metagenome. RNAcentral's name for it is "partial contains 5.8S ribosomal RNA, internal transcribed spacer 2, and large subunit ribosomal RNA". The stretch from base 1 to 119 matches the Rfam family "5.8S ribosomal RNA", at positions 35 to 154 of the family's 154-position model. The record is from RNAcentral.
GAUGAAGACGUAGUGAAAUGCGAUACGUAAUGUGAAUUGCAGAAUUCAGUGAAUCAUCGAGUCUUUGAACGCACAUUGCGCCCCCUGGUAUUCCGGGGGGCAUGCCUGUCCGAGCGUCAUUGCUGCCCUCAAGCACGGCUUGUGUGUUGGGCCUCCGUCCUCCUCCCGGGGGACGGGCCCGAAAGGCAGCGGCGGCACCGCGUCCGGUCCUCGAGCGUAUGGGGCUUCGUCACCCGCUCUUGUAGGCCCGGCCGGCGCUUGCCGACACAUCAAUCUUUUUUCCAGGUUGACCUCGGAUCAGGUAGGGAUACCCGCUGAACUUAAGCAUAUCAAUAAGCGGAGGA